RNAcentral lists this RNase P RNA (334 nucleotides) under Candidatus Woesearchaeota archaeon. RNAcentral's name for it is "RNase P RNA component". It matches the Rfam family "Archaeal RNase P". Rfam says of the family: Ribonuclease P (RNase P) is a ubiquitous endoribonuclease, found in archaea, bacteria and eukarya as well as chloroplasts and mitochondria. Its best characterised activity is the generation of mature 5'-ends of tRNAs by cleaving the 5'-leader elements of precursor-tRNAs. The record is from RNAcentral. Lineage: Archaea; Nanobdellati; Candidatus Woesearchaeota.
GGGUGCGUACCUUAGUGUCGGUUACGUUGUAGCUGAGGAAAGUCCGCCCACACCUCUUUUGAGGAAGCAGGCACUCGUGGGAACGAGACACAGAAAUGUGUGGCAACGUCCAAGAAACGGUACAGCCUUGUUGCGCAAUGAUGCUAUAAAACUCAUGGCGACAUGAGAAAGAAAAUGCUGAGUAUGUGACAAGGAUAUGGUGAAACGGUCAGCCCUGCCUUGUGCAAGUCAAAUGGUGGAAUGAUUCGCCAAGACGCUUAGUUAAAUGCUAAGGCAGACUAUCGCAGCAGAUGCUGCACAAAGGGUCUGAACAGAAGGCGGCUUAUUCGCGCCC